AUUGAACGCUGGCGGCAUGCUUUACACAUGCAAGUCGAACGGCAGCGCGGGCUUUGGCCUGGCGGCGAGUGGCGAACGGGUGAGUAAUACAUCGGAACGUGCCCAGUAGUGGGGGAUAGCUCGGCGAAAGCCGGAUUAAUACCGCAUACGACCUGAGGGUGAAAGCGGGGGAUCUUCGGACCUCGCGCUAUUGGAGCGGCCGAUGGCAGAUUAGCUAGUUGGUGGGGUAAAGGCCUACCAAGGCGACGAUCUGUAGCUGGUCUGAGAGGACGACCAGCCACACUGGGACUGAGACACGGCCCAGACUCCUACGGGAGGCAGCAGUGGGGAAUUUUGGACAAUGGGCGAAAGCCUGAUCCAGCAAUGCCGCGUGUGUGAUGAAGGCCUUCGGGUUGUAAAGCACUUUUGGCGGGAACGAAAAGGACUGUGCCAAUACCACGGUUCGAUGACGGUACCCGCAGAAUAAGCACCGGCUAACUACGUG
RNAcentral lists this ribosomal RNA (484 nucleotides) under uncultured bacterium. RNAcentral describes it as "partial 16S ribosomal RNA". It matches the Rfam family "Bacterial small subunit ribosomal RNA", at positions 29 to 507 of the family's 1533-position model. The record is from RNAcentral.